RNAcentral lists this transfer RNA (87 nucleotides) under Planctomycetota bacterium. RNAcentral's name for it is "Planctomycetes bacterium (mine drainage metagenome) tRNA-Ser". It matches the Rfam family "tRNA". From Rfam's summary of the family: Transfer RNA (tRNA) molecules are approximately 80 nucleotides in length. Their secondary structure includes four short double-helical elements and three loops (D, anti-codon, and T loops). The record is from RNAcentral. Lineage: Bacteria; Pseudomonadati; Planctomycetota.
GGUGGGGUGGCAGAGCGGUUGAAUGCGCCAGACUUGAAAUCUGGUUGUGGCAACAGUCACACGGGGGUUCGAAUCCCCCCCCCACCG